Long non-coding RNA from Podarcis raffonei (Aeolian wall lizard), 3469 nucleotides. RefSeq lists it as uncharacterized. The record is from RefSeq and is a predicted model, not a curated record. The transcript is spliced from 2 exons. Lineage: Eukaryota; Metazoa; Chordata; Lepidosauria; Squamata; Lacertidae.
GAUUCUUCCAAAUAAACGCUUUGGGUUUCUUGCGCCGGUCUGGACAACAAGUGGGAAAGGCGGGUGGAGCGGCUCUCGGAGCCCGGGGGGUCUGGCCUGAAAGAUAGUGCAUUUAUGGGAGACUCUCUACAAAGAAUUGCUCCGACUGAUGAGGAUAGCAACCCCCACCCUUCCUUACAUCUUCACUUUUGCCUUGCAAAGGGACAGUCCUCAGUUGACAUCUCCAAAGUGAUUAUUAGACGCCUCUGUGAUAAAUCAGGUUGGGGGGGGGGAGAGUAGGGGAGCAGGAAUAAGGCCAGGCUACACACACACACACACACACACACACACACACACACACACAGUGUCUGGCUAACGCUGUAUGACUGCCCGACAGCCCUUUUCAAUUUUUCCACCAACACCCCUGAAAUAGCACAUUGCCUCAACAACCUCUCUUGUUUGUCUCUCUCUGUGUGUGCUCAGAAAAAAUCUUUAAAAUUCCUGUCCACGGAUUUCCCUCUCCUGCCUCUCUUUCUCAUCCCCUCUAGCUCCAACCCCACCCCACCCCAAAGAGCCUCGGAGCCCUUCUUCCCUGAUAAGUUGUAAGAACUUUGCUUUCAAGAGUGUGAAAUGAAGAACACAGACAGUAUAUCAGUGAAAAGAAUAAAGUGGCCUUUUAAUGAGAACUAAAGACAACAAAAACGUAGAUGAAGUGUACCGUAAAGACUGUUUCAAAGUGCAGCUCAAUCCCCUGAGAGCAACCAUCCCAUAGGCUGGGUAAUUGGGACUUUACUGCGCAGAGCUGGGGAACCCCACCACGGAGCAGGUUUCAUGGGUAAGAAAAUCUGGACUAGAACAGGCGAUAGAGAUGAAACCACCCAAAGAGAGCAGCCUUCUCCCUGCCCUACGCACCCCCCGCUCCCCCAAUAUAGUUCUCCUUUUUUCCAAGGAACUUCAAGAGCUGGACAGAGCCCGAAGGAGACAGAGCUGAUUUCAGUGGCCACCAUUCUGCCCCGUAUUUCCCACGGAUCUCACAGAACGGGAAGCUCAGACCUCGGGAAAAAAGAAACUAGAGGAGGAAGGGGAAAGACCCCCCCCCCUUUUCCUAUAGGGAGUUAGGCAAGCAAACACUAGAGCUGGUGCAUCGGAUCCUUGUGGUUGUUACGACGGACACGUUCUGAGACCCCAGUUAGCUUCAAGCCAUGUUAAUCUCAAGGAUCUGAAUGGCCGGGGAGAGGUGGGUGGGGAGGUUUUUUGGGAAGGAUGCAAGGUUAGCUGAGAUGUUGAAUACUGGGCUUCUAAAAGGGGAAUGUCGAAAGAUGCUUGGCCAGUUGAAAGGCGAGUGGGCGCCAGAAGCCUGUUCUGAAGGGUGGGCGCAUCUGGAGACAAUCUUUCACAGCCCAGACACUUCACAACAACAGCACAAGAGCGACGGGUGACAUUUGGGCUUCUGAUACUCCGCAGGAACAUUUCUCGAGCAGGUGGCAAUAAAGAGCUGUGAAGGCAAAGGUGCGCCUUAUUUGUCUUAGUCGCCUCUUCCUAACCCGCGACGAUUUCCACGAAGCCUCGAUAAUGACUCUCCCUUUAUUAGAGAGCCUUCCGCGCGCUUGCAGAGUGGCAACAAUUUCUCUUCCUCACAGUCAUUUGGUGUCUUUGUUUAAUUUUGCAGAACUAAUGUAAACAUGGCUUGCAAAUACCCAGAGGUGGAUUAUUUGGUUUAUUCUCUCUGCUCCCCCCCCACACCCUUUCCUCUCCCUCCACCAUCCUUUUUUUUAAAAAAGAAAGAAAGCCACAGAAGAUUAAUCGAACAGCAAAGAUUACGAGGAUGGAAUAUGCCCUGCCUUUGUUUUGUAGUCCUUCGAAAGCCAUGCAAAUACACAUCGAAGGGCGUUGCUUCCCUUGAGCGACGUGGCCACCGCCUGGCAUCUUAAGUUUGUGAAAAUAUAUUACAUCUAUUUCACGGAGCGUUUAAACGCCUGCAUUUCAUCGGACCAGCAAAGCAACCAAGCAGCCACCAACCACCUUGGCUAUACUGGGGUGUGGUGGAGAUGCAAGGAUAGAACAGUCAGGGGACCUGGUGACUUUUGUCCUUUCUGUACUGCUCAAUUGACUUCUCUCACUCUUUCCCCAUCCCUAAAAACGAGAGCUGGAGAUAACGAGCAGAGAAAAAGUUAUUAAGCGCCUGGCAGGUGCGUGUACCUCGGUUGUAUACAUCCCAGGGACCAGAUAGUGCUAGUAGUAUCUGACCUUGAUUAGGGGAAACCUGCCUGUCCUAAAUACUCAGAAGCGAAGCGCAAACGACACGGAGCCGAGUUGCUCUUUCAGAAGCAGGGAGGGAAAGGGCAGAGCCCUGCGAAACACUGAACGGAGUGCGGAUUGUCUGCUGGGGGCGGGGGGGGGAGCUCUGCUCAGGUGAAACUGACGAGGCAGUGUAAGUUUCCUGCUCAGUCUCUCUCUCGCUUCUCUCUCUCUCCCCCCCUCUUUUUCUAUGACUGCCCGAAGGGCCUCGCCGAUUCCUCGCCUUUGAUUCUCCGUUUGUUUGCUAGAUGGCGCUGUGUCUUUCAAUACAUUCCGAUUCAGAGCUAAAACGGCCCCUUUUCGUAUAUCCUCCCCCAGAUAAAUCAGAUUACCUACCCCCGCUUCGUUCUGCGAGGAACGCACUUUAGUUCCAGCAAAAAAGAAAAAGUGCUAUUAAAUAAUGUUAAGAAUCAUACAGAAUCAUCAUAUAAAUAUCCCGAUUGAAAUAAAAGGCAGCCUGCAAGCAAAAUCUGAACUAUGGCGUCUUUACUCUCUGCCAAUUCAUGUUGUAAUCAUGUUGUAAUCUACUUAAUGAUUUCCCUCCUUUUUGGUGGCUGGACCAAAAUGUAGCUAAUUUGUAUUUGGGGAAACCUAAUAAAAAAAAGCAACACACAACCCGGAGAUUUGAUACAUGUUUUCAUUAGUUGCAGGCAAUGUAAAUACGCACAAGAGAUCUAGCUUCACCAGAAAUAGAAACUGGUCGUAUUAAGUUAGCCUCCUUGUCACUCUUUCAUGAAUAGAUCAAAACAAUUAUGAGCGAUUUAAAGUGAAAAUGCCACAAAAUCAAAUGUACGUUCUCUUUUCAUCUUUUUUUUAAGGUUUGUAAAGCCUGGGGGGUCUGUUUCUGUAUCUCCUACAGUCUAAAUUUAUUCUGCAAAAUUACCUUCCGUGUUCUAAAUUUAUUCAUUUCAUUAAAGUAAGAAAACUGUUUAGAAAUUUAAAAGCCUCGGUUGUUUCUAUUGAUUAUAUGAUUAGGGAUUCAUUAUAUGGAAACUCCUCUCCUUAGAAAAAGUAAUCUGAAAGUUUUGUAUUGACAGGUACAUGUAUUAGAGUAUAAAGUACUUUCAAUUUAUUAUUAAUUCCAGAUUUCAAAUACUAUUAUUGUGAUCAUCGUUACGUUUAUAGAAACAGGAAGAGCGUAUUCUUAAGUGUUAAAACAGCAAUGCAUAUUAAAGACGUUCCUUUUUCAGAA